UGGGGAAUCUUGGACAAUGGGCGCAAGCCUGAUCCAGCCAUGCCGAGUGAGUGAAGAAGGCCUUAGGGUUGUAAAGCUCUUUUGGCAGGGACGAUAAUGACGGUACCUGCAGAAUAAGCCCCGGCAAACUUCGUGCCAGCAGCCGCGGUAAUACGAAGGGGGCUAGCGUUGUUCGGAUUUACUGGGCGUAAAGCGCACGUAGGCGGAUUGUUAAGUCAGGGGUGAAAUCCCGGAGCUCAACUCCGGAACUGCCUUUGAUACUGGCAAUCUUGAGGCUGGAAGAGGUUGGUAGAAUUCCCAGUGUAGAGGUGAAAUUCGUAGAUAUUGGGAAGAAUACCAGUGGCGAAGGCGGCCAACUGAUCCAGAUCUGACGCUGAGGUGCGAAAGCGUGGGGAGCAAACA
Molecule: ribosomal RNA, 402 nt
Filed under: uncultured bacterium
Lineage: Bacteria
Description: bacterial SSU rRNA
Rfam family: Bacterial small subunit ribosomal RNA
Source: RNAcentral